This 434-nucleotide ribosomal RNA is filed under the name uncultured bacterium. Its description in RNAcentral is "bacterial SSU rRNA". It matches the Rfam family "Bacterial small subunit ribosomal RNA", at positions 954 to 1392 of the family's 1533-position model. The record is from RNAcentral.
GCAUAACGCGAAGAACCUUACCCACCUUUGACAUGUACGGAAUCCUUUAGAGAUAGAGGAGUGCUCGAAAGAGAGCCGUAACACAGGUGCUGCAUGGCUGUCGUCAGCUCGUGUCGUGAGAUGUUGGGUUAAGUCCCGCAACGAGCGCAACCCUUGCCAUUAGUUGCUACGAAAGGGCACUCUAAUGGGACUGCCGGUGACAAACCGGAGGAAGGUGGGGAUGACGUCAAGUCCUCAUGGCCCUUAUAGGUGGGGCUACACACGUCAUACAAUGGCUGGUACAAAGGGUUGCCAACCCGCGAGGGGGAGCUAAUCCCAUAAAGCCAGUCGUAGUCCGGAUCGCAGUCUGCAACUCGACUGCGUGAAGUCGGAAUCGCUAGUAAUCGCGGAUCAGAAUGUCGCGGUGAAUACGUUCCCGGGUCUUGUACACACCG